Molecule: ribosomal RNA, 459 nt
Filed under: uncultured bacterium
Lineage: Bacteria
Description: partial 16S ribosomal RNA
Rfam family: Bacterial small subunit ribosomal RNA
Source: RNAcentral
CCUACGGGGUGCAGCAGUGAGGAAUAUUGGUCAAUGGCCGCAGGGCUGAACCAGCCAAGUCGCGUGAGGGAUGACGGUCCUAUGGAUUGUAAACCUCUUUUGUCAGGGAGCAAAGGGCGCCACGUGUGGCGUUUUGCGAGUACCUGAAGAAAAAGCAUCGGCUAACUCCGUGCCAGCAGCCGCGGUAAUACGGAGGAUGCGAGCGUUAUCCGGAUUUAUUGGGUUUAAAGGGUGCGGAGGCGGAGAGUAAAUUCAGCGGGAAAAUUUCGGGGCUCAACCCCGUCGUUCCGUUGAUACUGGCGUUCUUGAGUGAACGAGAGGUAUGCGGAAGGCAUGGUGUAGCGGUGAAAUGCAUAGAUAUCACGCAGAACUCCGAUUGCGAAGGCAGCAUACCGGCGCUCAACUGACGCUCAUGCACGAAAGCGUGGGUAUCGAACAGGAUUAGAUACCCCAGUAGUC